Molecule: long non-coding RNA, 851 nt
Organism: Gossypium arboreum
Lineage: Eukaryota; Viridiplantae; Streptophyta; Magnoliopsida; Malvales; Malvaceae
Exons: 2
Source: RefSeq, a predicted model, not a curated record
AGGUAUUUUAAGCCCCCUUGGGGCACUGUUCCCGCCCCCUCUGAGCUUCCAGACCCUUCCAACCCCAUCUAGGUGCUACUCUUGCACACUAGGUGCGUCCUGCCCCUUUUGGGUACGUCUAGAACCUUUUAUGGGCGCCUGGGUCAGUCUCCCAUACGCUAUGGGGCUAGCCAGGGUCGCUUUCCUGCUUCAGUGGUGCUUGCCGAUCUGGAGGGUUCCAAAGAAUUCCUUGAGCUGCACUGCCAUUUUCGGAUGCUCCUCCACGCUUCUAGAGUCUUCCUCUACCUCUAAGAGUUUCCCCGCGCAAUUUGGAGACCUAGACCCCUGAUUUUUCGAAAAGCCCUCUAGUGACCUGUCGAGCAACUUGACCCUGUGGUUGCACAUUUGGGCUCCAUCCUCGACACUUACACGCGGCUUGUGAUACGGAGCCUUGGAGCUCCAUGGGUCUCCCAUCUUGUGUCCAUCCUCCAUUUUGAUGUUUACAUCUCUAUAGUCUCCUGUCGAAUUUCAGCCUUGUCAUCGCACCAAGUCUUCUCCCGGUUCUUGUCAUUGGCAACUUACCGAUGGUGUUAUUCAUCCUUGGCCCCUCCAGCGUUAAUGUUCUCAUCGGUGCCGUGGCGAUUCUGACAUCUCUUUUUCGGAUUCUCGUUAGCAUGGCCUCCAUCAAAGGAGUGCAUGCCGCUUGGGCCAAUUGUCGUGACCGCUUAUCAAGAUCUUGAGGUUCUUCCCAUGUUCCUCCUUGCAUGGCGACAAGGACAAAGUUUGUAGCUAGGGUUUUUUUGAGGUUUACGUUUUUGCUGUAUCUAUCUAAGCUUUGGGCAUCUGAAUGCUAUAAUUGACAUUUUUAUUAA